RNAcentral lists this ribosomal RNA (492 nucleotides) under uncultured bacterium. RNAcentral's name for it is "partial 16S ribosomal RNA". It matches the Rfam family "Bacterial small subunit ribosomal RNA", at positions 29 to 507 of the family's 1533-position model. The record is from RNAcentral.
AGUGAACGCUGGCGGUAGGCCUAACACAUGCAAGUCGAACGGCAGCACAGUAAGAGCUUGCUCUUACGGGUGGCGAGUGGCGGACGGGUGAGGAAUACAUCGGAAUCUACUUUUUCGUGGGGGAUAACGUAGGGAAACUUACGCUAAUACCGCAUACGACCUACGGGUGAAAGCAGGGGAUCUUCGGACCUUGCGCGAUUGAAUGAGCCGAUGUCGGAUUAGCUAGUUGGCGGGGGAAUGGCCCACCAAGGCGGCGCACCGUAGCUGGUCUGAGAGGAUGAUUCGCCACACUGGAACUGAGACACGGUCCAGACUCCUACGGGAGGAAGCAGUGGGGAAUAUUGGACAAUGGGCGAAAGCCUGAUCCAGCCAUACCGCGUGGGUGAAGAAGGCCUUCGGGUUGUAAAGCCCUUUUGUUGGGAAAGAAAAGCAGCAGGUUAAUACCCCGCUGUUCUGACGGUACCCAAAGAAUAAGCACCGGCUAACUUCGUG